Molecule: transfer RNA, 88 nt
Filed under: Gallionellaceae bacterium
Lineage: Bacteria; Pseudomonadati; Pseudomonadota; Betaproteobacteria; Nitrosomonadales; Gallionellaceae
Description: tRNA-Ser
Rfam family: tRNA
About the family: Transfer RNA (tRNA) molecules are approximately 80 nucleotides in length. Their secondary structure includes four short double-helical elements and three loops (D, anti-codon, and T loops).
Source: RNAcentral
GGAGAAGUGGCAGAGUGGUCGAAUGUACUUGACUCGAAAUCAAGCAUACCGAAAGGUAUCGAGGGUUCGAAUCCCUCCUUCUCCGCCA